GGUUAAGUGACUAAGCGUACACGGUGGAUGCCUAGGCAGUCAGAGGCGAUGAAGGGCGUGCUAAUCUGCGAAAAGCGUCGGUAAGGUGAUAUGAACCGUUAUAACCGGCGAUACCCGAAUGGGGAAACCCAGUGUGUUUCGACACACUAUCAUGUCAUGAAUACAUAGUGGCAUGAGGCGAACCGGGGGAACUGAAACAUCUAAGUACCCCGAGGAAAAGAAAUCAACCGAGAUUCCCCCAGUAGCGGCGAGCGAACGGGGAGGAGCCCAGAACCUGAAUCGGCUUGUGUGUUAGUGGAAGCGUCUGGAAAGUCGCGCAGCAAAGGGUGAUAGCCCCGUACACUAAAAUGCACAGGUCGUGAGUUCGAUGAGUAGGGCGGGACACGUGACAUCCUGUCUGAAUAUGGGGGGACCAUCCUCCAAGGCUAAAUACUCCUGACUGACCGAUAGUGAACCAGUACCGUGAGGGAAAGGCGAAAAGAACCCCGGCGAGGGGAGUGAAAUAGAACCUGAAACCGUGUACGUACAAGCAGUGGGAGCACCUUCGUGGUGUGACUGCGUACCUUUUGUAUAAUGGGUCAGCGACUUAUAUUUUGUAGCAAGGUUAACCGUAUAGGGGAGCCGUAGGGAAACCGAGUCUUAACUGGGCG
RNAcentral lists this ribosomal RNA (650 nucleotides) under Serratia marcescens. Its description in RNAcentral is "partial 23S ribosomal RNA". It matches the Rfam family "Bacterial large subunit ribosomal RNA", at positions 1 to 694 of the family's 2925-position model. Lineage: Bacteria; Pseudomonadati; Pseudomonadota; Gammaproteobacteria; Enterobacterales; Yersiniaceae. The record is from RNAcentral.